CAGUAGCCGCGGUAAUACGUAGGUGGCAAGCGUUGUCCGGAAUUAUUGGGCGUAAAGCGCCCGCAGGUGGUUUAAUAAGUCUGAUGUGAAAGCCCACGGCUCAACCGUGGAGGGUCAUUGGAAACUGUUAAACUUGAGUGCAGGAGAGAAAAGUGGAAUUCCUAGUGUAGCGGUGAAAUGCGUAGAGAUUAGGAGGAACACCAGUGGCGAAGGCGGCUUUUUGGCCUGUAACUGACACUGAGAGACGAAAGCUAGGGGAGCAAAUGGGAUUAGAUACCCGAGUAGUCCCUGUCUCUUAUAC
Molecule: ribosomal RNA, 301 nt
Filed under: uncultured bacterium
Lineage: Bacteria
Description: partial 16S ribosomal RNA
Rfam family: Bacterial small subunit ribosomal RNA
Source: RNAcentral